CGGGUCCCAGGCCCGGGACACCGCAGCUCAGCUCCGCCAUCAAAAGGACUUUCCCUCAUCCCCCGCUACAGGAGCGGCCGGGACACAGGACGCGGCCAGGAUCUCGCCGGAUACAGACACGGGAUCCCCCAGUCGAGUUAAAGACAGAAGAAUCGUGUUCACAACCAAUAACGACAAAGUACCAAAGUCACACGCUGGAACUCCCGGGGAGCGGAAAAGCAGAAGCGGGCUGUACCACCUUUCCCGUCCCCGGAAGCCGGUUCGGGAGAAAGAGAGCGGGAGCCGGAGCCCGGGAGGAGGAGCCUCUCCCGUCUGCACUGGCAGCGGACGGACAAGACUCCCUCACGAUGGAGAUUUUUAUUCCCCGUUCUCGUAAAAAACCAACAUUCAGAACAACAGAAAGGAGAUUGUUCAAUAGCAAACAAGGGGCUUUUCAAGGCUCGCACCCACCCCGGUGGACCCCUCGCCACAGCAGAGCCGCGACAGAGGUCAGUGGUUGGAGAGGACUCGGCUUUCCUCGUGCACGGGCUUGGCUUUGGAUCAAGUGA
RNAcentral lists this long non-coding RNA (548 nucleotides) under Ornithorhynchus anatinus (platypus). Its description in RNAcentral is "lncRNA (ENSOANG00000045439.1)". The record is from RNAcentral. Lineage: Eukaryota; Metazoa; Chordata; Mammalia; Monotremata; Ornithorhynchidae.